Molecule: ribosomal RNA, 253 nt
Filed under: uncultured bacterium
Lineage: Bacteria
Description: partial 16S ribosomal RNA
Rfam family: Bacterial small subunit ribosomal RNA
Source: RNAcentral
UACGUAGGGUGCAAGCGUUAAUCGGAAUUACUGGGCGUAAAGCGUGCGCAGGCGGCUUUGCAAGACAGAUGUGAAAUCCCCGGGCUCAACCUGGGAACUGCAUUUGUGACUGCAUGGCUAGAGUACGGUAGAGGGGGAUGGAAUUCCGCGUGUAGCAGUGAAAUGCGUAGAUAUGCGGAGGAACACCGAUAGCGAAGGCAAUCCCCUGGACCUGUACUGACGCUCAUGCACGAAAGCGUGGGGAGCAAACAGG